This 116-nucleotide ribosomal RNA is filed under the name bacterium. The record is from RNAcentral.
CCUGGUGACAACAGCGCGGUGGUACCACCUCUUCCCAUUCCGAACAGAGAAGUUAAACGCCGUGUCGACGAUGAUACUUAGCCCCUGAUGGUUAGGGAAAGUAGUUAUCGCCAGGA